AGUACGGCGGAACACGAGAAAUUCCGUCGGAAUCCGCGGGGACCAUCCCGCAAGGCUAAAUACUCCCUAGUGACCGAUAGUGAACCAGUACCGUGAGGGAAAGGUGAAAAGCACCCCGGAAGGGGAGUGAAAUAGAUCCUGAAACCGUGUGCCUACAACAAGUCAAAGCUCGUUAAUGAGUGAUGGCGUGCCUUUUGUAGAAUGAACCGGCGAGUUACGAUUGCAUGCGAGGUUAAGUCGAAGAGACGGAGCCGCAGCGAAAGCGAGUCUGAAUAGGGCGAAUGAGUAUGUAGUCGUAGACCCGAAACCAUGUGAUCUACCCAUGUCCAGGUUGAAGGUGCGGUAAAACGCACUGGAGGACCGAACCCACGUACGUUGAAAAGUGCGGGGAUGAGGUGUGGGUAGCGGAGAAAUUCCAAACGAACUUGGAGAUAGCUGGUUCUCUCCGAAAUAGCUUUAGGGCUAGCCUCGGAAUUGAGAAUGAUGGAGGUAGAGCACUGUUUGGACUAGGGGCCCAUCUCGGGUUACCGAAUUCAGAUAAACUCCGAAUGCCAUUCAUUUAUAUCCGGGAGUCAGACUGCGAGUGAUAAGAUCCGUAGUCGAAAGGGAAACAGCCCAGACCACCAGCUAAGGUCCCAAAAUAUAUGUUAAGUGGAAAAGGAUGUGGGGUUGCACAGACAACUAGGAUGUUGGCUUAGAAGCAGCCACCAUUUAAAGAGUGCGUAAUAGCUCACUAGUCGAGUGACCCUGCGCCGAAAAUGUACCGGGGCUAAACAUAUUACCGAAGCUGUGGACUACACCAUUAGGUGUAGUGGUAGGAGAGCGUUCUAAGGGCGUUGAAGGUCGAUCGUGAGGACGGCUGGAGCGCUUAGAAGUGAGAAUGCCGGUAUGAGUAGCGAAAGACAGGUGAGAAUCCUGUCCACCGUAUGACUAAGGUUUCCUGGGGAAGGCUCGUCCGCCCAGGGUUAGUCGGGACCUAAGCCGAGGCCGAUAGGCGUAGGCGAUGGACAACAGGUUGAUAUUCC
This 1025-nucleotide ribosomal RNA is filed under the name Enterococcus faecalis. RNAcentral describes it as "partial 23S ribosomal RNA". It matches the Rfam family "Bacterial large subunit ribosomal RNA", at positions 411 to 1439 of the family's 2925-position model. Lineage: Bacteria; Bacillati; Bacillota; Bacilli; Lactobacillales; Enterococcaceae. The record is from RNAcentral.